GAAAACUAGAACCUUCCUUUUCGUUAGUCAUUAAGCCUUUUUCUUCUUUCUUUCUUUCACCACCGUCACUUUCUUCUUGUGAAGGAUUUCUUCCUCCUAAACCGCACCCAUCACCAUAACCAGCAGGCCUCAAGCUCUUCUCUCCAUUUCUUCCCUUGUUUCUUCCCUUUUAUCCUUCCUCUACAUGAAGUUCUUUCCUUUUCCUUCCCCAUAGCUGAAAUUGAGGUGGAUUGGUGAGUUGAUUCAAGAGUUCGAAGCAAAGGAAAUUUAGGUGUGAGAACUGGUGUCUUGGAGUGGGGAAAAUCCAGCAAAAAUCAGGAACUAUAUACUUGAAUUGGUAGCAAAUUAGCAUCCCAAAAUUUUAAGAUAAGUGAUCAGUUUU
Molecule: non-coding RNA, 382 nt
Organism: Theobroma umbraticum
Lineage: Eukaryota; Viridiplantae; Streptophyta; Magnoliopsida; Malvales; Malvaceae
Source: RefSeq, a predicted model, not a curated record